UAAAGAACAAUCAGACAAUUUCUGCGAUGAGUUGAAUCACGUUCCUUGUUCCCGACAAUAUUACGUCACAAGCAUUUAAAUCAGAUUAAAAUACCUAAUCUCAUGUCUCUGUGGCGCAAUUGGUAAGCGCGUUCGGCUGUUAACUGAAAGGUUGGUGGUUCAAGCCCACCCAGGGACGCUUGUAAUUACUGAUGGCAGUCAUUGUUGUUUGAGUGGUGCUCAAUCUAACUUCGUUGCAAGAACCACACUGGCGACAGCUUGACUUUUUAGCACUUGCAAGUGGAGGAAACGUUCGUCACUGUAGCAUACAGAGGUGUUCGAACGCAGUCUACCUUUGGUCUCUUGCAAGAGAGUAUUUGUUGAGAGAAAGCAGGGUGGGGGUAAGCAUGGACAGGUUUGGUGAACCCCCGGCCUCUGGUCAAAUCAGAGCAGGGGGUGUUUUACGAUGUUGGGGGAAACAGAACAACUUUGAUUGCUUCCUCUGCAGCUAGUCAACCAUGCAGGGGAACUUAGCACUUUGUUUUACUACGUUGUGAGAACAGGACAAGUUUGGUUAAUCAUUAUAGUCUACAUUUCAACACAAUCAUACAAUCAAAAUAAUCUGUCAACCC
This is a long non-coding RNA of Syngnathus acus (greater pipefish), 611 nucleotides long. RefSeq lists it as uncharacterized. NCBI's taxonomy places the organism in Eukaryota, Metazoa, Chordata, Actinopteri, Syngnathiformes, Syngnathidae. The record is from RefSeq and is a predicted model, not a curated record. The transcript is spliced from 2 exons.